UGCGGAGGAUCAUUAUCGUAACAACGGAGGCGUGAGGGCUGUCGCUGACCUGAACCCUCAGGUCGUGCACGCCCGAGCGUUCUCUUACAUCCAUCUCACCCCAAUGUGCACCACCGCGUGGGGUCCCCCUUUGGCUUGUUCGGAGGGGGGCUUUACGUUUUCACACAAACUUGUAUGCAGUGUAGAAUGUACCUUUGUUUUGCGAUCACGCAAUUAAUACAACUUUCAACAACGGAUCUCUUGGCUCUCGCAUCGAUGAAGAACGCAGCGAAAUGCGAUACGUAAUGUGAAUUGCAGAAUUCAGUGAAUCAUCGAAUCUUUGAACGCACCUUGCGCCCCUUGGCAUUCCGAGGGGCACACCCGUUUGAGUGUCGUGAAAUUCUCAAAACCCUUUUUCUUUUCGGGAAAGGGUUUUGGAUUUGGAGGCCUUUUGCUGGUUUCAUGUCGAAGCCAGCUCCUCUUANACGAAUUAGUGGGGUUCGCUUUGUCGAUCCUUGACGUGAUAAGAUGUUUCUGCGUCUUGGGUUUGGCACUGUUGCCCGCUUCUAACCGUCUCAUUGACAAUGAUGGCGUUCCGGUCGCUGCCUCUCCGUAGGUGGUCGGCUUGACCCACAAUAAAACCUUGACCUCAAAUCGGGUGAGACUACCCGCUGAACUUAAGCAUAUCAAUAAGCGGAGGA
This 680-nucleotide small RNA is filed under the name uncultured fungus. RNAcentral's name for it is "eukaryotic LSU rRNA". The stretch from base 221 to 374 matches the Rfam family "5.8S ribosomal RNA". The record is from RNAcentral. Lineage: Eukaryota; Fungi.